CAGUAGCCACGGGAAUACGUAGGUGGCAAGCGUUGUCCGGAAUUAUUGGGCGUAAAGCGAGCGCAGGCGGUUUGAUAAGUCUGAAGUUAAAGGCUGUGGCUCAACCAUAGUUCGCUUUGGAAACUGUCGAACUUGAGUGCAGAAGGGGAGAGUGGAAUUCCAUGUGUAGCGGUGAAAUGCGUAGAUAUAUGGAGGAACACCGGUGGCGAAAGCGGCUCUCUGGUCUGUAACUGACGCUGAGGCUCGAAAGCGUGGGGAGCGAACAGGAUUAGAUACCCCGGUAGUCCCUGUCUCUUAUACA
RNAcentral lists this ribosomal RNA (301 nucleotides) under uncultured bacterium. RNAcentral describes it as "partial 16S ribosomal RNA". It matches the Rfam family "Bacterial small subunit ribosomal RNA", at positions 509 to 808 of the family's 1533-position model. The record is from RNAcentral.